UACAGAGGUCUCAAGCGUUGUUCGGAUUCAUUGGGCGUAAAGGGUGCGUAGGUGGCGCCGUAAGUCGGGUGUGAAAUUUCGGAGCUUAACUCCGAAACUGCAUUCGAUACUGCGGUGCUUGAGGACUGGAGAGGAGACUGGAAUUUACGGUGUAGCAGUGAAAUGCGUAGAGAUCGUAAGGAAGACCAGUGGCGAAGGCGGGUCUCUGGACAGUUCCUGACACUGAUGCACGAAGGCCAGGGGAGCAAACGGG
Molecule: ribosomal RNA, 253 nt
Filed under: uncultured bacterium
Lineage: Bacteria
Description: partial 16S ribosomal RNA
Rfam family: Bacterial small subunit ribosomal RNA
Source: RNAcentral